UCAUUGCCAAAGGAGAGAACUUUCUGACUGCCGGGGUAUUUACCAUCUGUAUUGAUACCCAUGCUGUGAUCGAAUUCACCACACGGUGCCAGGCAUUCAAGUUGAUGCUCUUUACACACUUCGCCUUUACUAUUGAAUACCGCAAGGAGGUCAGCCUAACCGUGGUGUUCACACAAAGGGCAGCCGCAGCAGUCAACCCUAACAGAGGGAGCAAGGUCGAGAAGUCAAGGAAGGAGCGCUGCCUCACACCACAAAUGACCAACUUAAUCAAAGCUCUGUGGGACUAUGAAUGCUAAGUGCUACAACGAAAAAUUUGCAGUGUCAUUAUGAAUAUACCGUAUUUACUCGAAUCUAAGCCGAUGUUUUUUUUUUCAGAAACACGAUGUGCGAAAGUGUGGGGGAAGGGGGCGUCUUAGAUUCGAGUACAAUGAUUAAGUUUUUUUUUUCUGGCCUUGCGAAUUUCGCGGGUCGGCUUAUAAUCAGGUACGGCCUAGAUUUGAGUAAAUACGGUAUAUCUACACAAUUUCCAAAA
This is a long non-coding RNA of Rhipicephalus sanguineus (brown dog tick), 532 nucleotides long. RefSeq lists it as uncharacterized. The transcript is spliced from 3 exons. The record is from RefSeq and is a predicted model, not a curated record. Lineage: Eukaryota; Metazoa; Arthropoda; Arachnida; Ixodida; Ixodidae.